Molecule: ribosomal RNA, 421 nt
Filed under: uncultured bacterium
Lineage: Bacteria
Description: bacterial SSU rRNA
Rfam family: Bacterial small subunit ribosomal RNA
Source: RNAcentral
GCCCUGAUGCAGCCAUGCCGCGUGUGUGAAGAAGGCCUUCGGGUUGUAAAGCACUUUCAGUAGGGAGGAAGGUAGUGUAGUUAACACCUGCAUUAUUUGACGUUACCUACAGAAGAAGCACCGGCUAACUCCGUGCCAGCAGCCGCGGUAAUACGGAGGGUGCGAGCGUUAAUCGGAAUUACUGGGCGUAAAGCGCAUGCAGGCGGCCUGUUAAGUCAGAUGUGAAAGCCCCGGGGCUUAACCUCGGAAUUGCAUUUGAAACUGGCAGGCUAGAGUCUUGUAGAGGGGGUAGAAUUUCAGGUGUAGCGGUGAAAUGCGUAGAGAUCUGAAGGAAUACCAGUGGCGAAGGCGGCCCCCUGGACAAAGACUGACGCUCAGAUGCGAAAGCGUGGGGAGCAAACAGGAUUAGAUACCCUGGUAG